Suricata suricatta (meerkat) is the source of this 610-nucleotide long non-coding RNA. RefSeq lists it as uncharacterized. The record is from RefSeq and is a predicted model, not a curated record. The transcript has 3 exons. Lineage: Eukaryota; Metazoa; Chordata; Mammalia; Carnivora; Herpestidae.
CGGGACUGCAGCGGCCCCGCGGCCGGGAGGGGGAAGCGACGACUCGGGGACGCAGCUUCCGAAUGAGGACCAAGACUCACGAAGUCUUCAUUAUCUGCUGGAUCUUGUAAUUUUCUCCAGAAGGAGUUUGGAGGCAGAAGGAGAAAGCAGCUUGCAGAAUCUGAAUGAUCUGUGACCACUUGGGAUCAAAAUGAAAGACAAGAAGAAAACAAAUGAAACCCCUGAGGCUGAGAUGAACACCCCGCACAGAUUCCAUUCAUGACAAAUGGAUUUUUGGAUCCAGGAAAGAGAGAUGCUUCAGCAAAGACAAGAUACUUCUGUAACUUUCCAAUUAAAGUGCCCCAUUUGGACACUGUCCCAGGCCUCGCUGAGCUUGUGCCCAGGCUCCUGGCAGGAGAAGGGCCACCGCAGGCAAGGCCAAGGUCCCUCCUCUCCUCCCAUCCUGAUGGUGUCCUUGGGCUCCCUCUAGACAGAAGCUCUCACUGCUCCUGCCAGACCCACAGACCCCAGCUCCCCAGGCAGGAGCUUACAUCUUGGCAGUGCUUCCGAAACUAUGAGUUUAAUUUAUUCUCAUUCACCCCGAAGAGUCAAUAUAUAUAUAGACACUAUG